RNAcentral lists this ribosomal RNA (253 nucleotides) under uncultured bacterium. RNAcentral's name for it is "partial 16S ribosomal RNA". It matches the Rfam family "Bacterial small subunit ribosomal RNA", at positions 524 to 776 of the family's 1533-position model. The record is from RNAcentral.
UACGUAGGCAGCAAGCGUUGUUCGGAAUUACUGGGCGUAAAGAGUGUGUAGGCGGUGCCCUAAGUUUGGUGUGAAAUCUCCCGGCUCAACUGGGAGGGUGCAUCGAAAACUGGGGUGCUCGAGGGUGGGAGAGGUAAGCGGAAUUCCUGGUGUAGCGGUGAAAUGCGUAGAUAUCAGGAGGAACACCUGUGGUGUAGACAGCUUACUGGACCACUUCUGACGCUGAGGCGCGAAAGCUAGGGGAGCAAACGGG